GCUCCAGUGGCGCAAUCGGUUAGCGAGUGGUACUUAUAAUGCCGCGGUUAUGAGUUCAAGCCUCACCUGGAGCA
This 74-nucleotide transfer RNA is filed under the name Gadus morhua (Atlantic cod). Its description in RNAcentral is "tRNA-Ile (TAT) (tRNA-Ile-TAT-11-1)". It matches the Rfam family "tRNA". From Rfam's summary of the family: Transfer RNA (tRNA) molecules are approximately 80 nucleotides in length. Their secondary structure includes four short double-helical elements and three loops (D, anti-codon, and T loops). Lineage: Eukaryota; Metazoa; Chordata; Actinopteri; Gadiformes; Gadidae. The record is from RNAcentral.